RNAcentral lists this ribosomal RNA (505 nucleotides) under uncultured bacterium. RNAcentral's name for it is "partial 16S ribosomal RNA". It matches the Rfam family "Bacterial small subunit ribosomal RNA", at positions 28 to 507 of the family's 1533-position model. The record is from RNAcentral.
GACGAACGCUGGCGGCGUGCCUAAUACAUGCAAGUAGAACGCACAGUUUAUACCGUAGCUUGCUACACCAUAGACUGUGAGUUGCGAACGGGUGAGUAACGCGUAGGUAACCUGCCUGGUAGCGGGGGAUAACUAUUGGAAACGAUAGCUAAUACCGCAUAAUAUUGAUUAUUGCAUGAUAAUUGAUUGAAAGAUGCUAUUGCAUCACUACCAGAUGGACCUGCGUUGUAUUAGCUAGUAGGUGAGGUAACGGCUCACCUAGGCGACGAUACAUAGCCGACCUGAGAGGGUGAUCGGCCACACUGGGACUGAGACACGGCCCAGACUCCUACGGGAGGCAGCAGUAGGGAAUCUUCGGCAAUGGACGAAAGUCUGACCGAGCAACGCCGCGUGAGUGAAGAAGGGUUUCGGAUCGUAAAGCUCGGUUGUAAGAGAAGAACGGGUGUGAGAGUGGAAAGUUCACACUGUGACGGUAUCUUACCAGAAAGGGACGGCUAACUACGUG